Molecule: small nucleolar RNA, 65 nt
Filed under: Leptosomus discolor (cuckoo roller)
Lineage: Eukaryota; Metazoa; Chordata; Aves; Leptosomiformes; Leptosomidae
Description: Small nucleolar RNA U54
Rfam family: Small nucleolar RNA U54
Source: Rfam by way of RNAcentral
UGGCUGUGAGGACAACCUGUGAAAUGAACAGCAAUGAUCACUUCAUACGCUAUUCUGAGCCAACA